Molecule: small nuclear RNA, 107 nt
Organism: Microtus ochrogaster (prairie vole)
Lineage: Eukaryota; Metazoa; Chordata; Mammalia; Rodentia; Cricetidae
Source: Ensembl
GUGCUCACUUCAGCAUCACAUAUACUAAAAUCAGAAUGAUGUAAAGAUGAUUAGUAUGGUCCCUGAACAAAGAUGCCACAUAAAUUUGUGAAGUGUUCCAUAGUUUU